CUGAAGCCUAAUUGGGCUCCUCCAUGAGCACAAAGGAGAAAGGCUGCGCUCAGGAGUGACUGCGUAUUGCAUAUCAGGGAAAAGUUAGACGGCUGAGGUUAGGUUGAUUCUCAGAGUAUGCUCGAGUGGAUACUGAAAAGCAGAUGAAGCUGGUGUUACUUGAUUGCUUGUGCCCGUGUUUGGGUGAAUAGAGGCACGAGCCCCCGGCAGCCUGCAUGUUAAGCUGACUCUGUGUCUCUUUGCCAUUCAUGCUUGUUCACCCCAGGUCAGGGACAACAAAGUAGCAGGUCCAGGUCCCAGAACGCGGACAGCAACAGUGGGUCUCCUACAGCUGGCACCUCGAACAGGGAGAGGGGACGCCUUCAGCUAUAUGAUCUGUUUCACAACAACCCUCCAGAGCGCUGGGAUUCCAGGUGUGUGCCACCGUGCCUGCCCAGCUCCAGCUCCACCUCCAGCUCCUUUGCAAUGAUGUUUCACAACCUCUUCAAGUGCCAG
RNAcentral lists this long non-coding RNA (495 nucleotides) under Heterocephalus glaber (naked mole-rat). RNAcentral's name for it is "lncRNA (ENSHGLG00000045553.1)". Lineage: Eukaryota; Metazoa; Chordata; Mammalia; Rodentia; Bathyergidae. The record is from RNAcentral.